GUGCCAGCCGCCGCGGUACUACCGGCAGCCCGAGUGAUGGCCGAUCUUAUUGGGCCUAAAGCGUCCGUAGCUGGCUGCGCAAGUCCGUCGGGAAAUCCACUCGCCCAACGAGUGGCCGUCCGGUGGAAACUCCACACCUUGGGACCGGAAGGCUCGAAGGGUACGGCCGGGGUAGGAGUGAAAUCCUGUAAUCCCGGACGGACUACCGAUGGCGAAAGCACUCUGAGAAGACGGCUUCGACAGUGAGGGACGAAAGCUCGGGUCUCAAACCGGAUUAGAAACCCGAGUAGUCC
This 293-nucleotide ribosomal RNA is filed under the name uncultured bacterium. RNAcentral's name for it is "partial 16S ribosomal RNA". It matches the Rfam family "Archaeal small subunit ribosomal RNA", at positions 455 to 747 of the family's 1478-position model. The record is from RNAcentral.